UUAAAUGCGAUGACGGAGUAAAGUAAGCUAUUUAUUAUCUUUCAGGGAGGAAGAGUCUUGACUGAAAACUCUUCUAUGUGUAGUGAUAGGUGAAGUUCCCUCCCGAGCUGCCGGCUGAACGAAAUCAAGUAGGCUAGGACGGUUCUUCCCCGUUAACAAGAAGGAGGUAUCGGAUGUCAUUCCCGUACCUUUGUCGAGUGGCCUUUUGGCUAAAGUCGGGUGGUAAUGCGAGAUAUAACUUCUCGUCCCUUCAGGGAUGAGAAGUUUUUUAUUAUACCUAGACGAAUCUUGACAAAUACGAGUUUGUCAUGCUGUACUUUUUGAGAGGGUCAAGGUUGACCAAAAUGGGUGGUAACGCGGAAGUCUACGGCUUUCGUCCCUGAG
RNAcentral lists this non-coding RNA (384 nucleotides) under Desulfosporosinus sp. RNAcentral's name for it is "T-box sequence". The stretch from base 1 to 253 matches the Rfam family "T-box leader". From Rfam's summary of the family: Uncharged tRNA acts as the effector for transcription antitermination of genes in the T-box leader family. T-boxes are found upstream of many aminoacyl-tRNA synthetase genes and some amino acid biosynthetic genes usually in Gram-positive bacteria. Lineage: Bacteria; Bacillati; Bacillota; Clostridia; Eubacteriales; Desulfitobacteriaceae. The record is from RNAcentral.